UAUUUAUUACACCGAGCUAUCACAGCUAACAUUGUUUUAUUUUUUGGUUAAAUCAAGCCAACUUAUUCGAAGCAUUCAUGUUGUGACAUGCCGCGACUAAUCCCAUGUAUUUAUUGGAUUUUAGUUGCCAGGGUUAACAAGGAAACGCGUUAGCCUCCCUACAUUUGGAAAGGUGACAUGUUAA
This 184-nucleotide non-coding RNA is filed under the name uncultured Colwellia sp. RNAcentral's name for it is "Moco (molybdenum cofactor) riboswitch". It matches the Rfam family "Molybdenum/Tungsten riboswitch aptamer (Moco RNA motif)", at positions 13 to 119 of the family's 135-position model. The record is from RNAcentral. Lineage: Bacteria; Pseudomonadati; Pseudomonadota; Gammaproteobacteria; Alteromonadales; Colwelliaceae.